CCUACGGGAGGCUGCAGUGGGGAAUAUUGGACAAUGGGGGCAACCCUGAUCCAGCCAUGCCGCGUGUGUGAAGAAGGCCCUCGGGUUGUAAAGCACUUUCAGUGAGGAAGAACGCCUGGUGGUUAAUACCCAUCAGGAAAGACAUCACUCACAGAAGAAGCACCGGCUAACUCCGUGCCAGCAGCCGCGGUAAUACGGAGGGUGCGAGCGUUAAUCGGAAUUACUGGGCGUAAAGCGCGCGUAGGUGGCUUGAUAAGCCGGUUGUGAAAGCCCCGGGCUCAACCUGGGAACGGCAUCCGGAACUGUCAAGCUAGAGUGCAGGAGAGGAAGGUAGAAUUCCCGGUGUAGCGGUGAAAUGCGUAGAGAUCGGGAGGAAUACCAGUGGCGAAGGCGGCCUUCUGGACUGACACUGACACUGAGGUGCGAAAGCGUGGGUAGCAAACAGGAUUAGAUACACUUGUAGUC
RNAcentral lists this ribosomal RNA (465 nucleotides) under Vreelandella stevensii. RNAcentral describes it as "partial 16S ribosomal RNA". It matches the Rfam family "Bacterial small subunit ribosomal RNA", at positions 338 to 795 of the family's 1533-position model. The record is from RNAcentral. Lineage: Bacteria; Pseudomonadati; Pseudomonadota; Gammaproteobacteria; Oceanospirillales; Halomonadaceae.